AGGACUAACGCUGGCGGCGUGCCUAACACAUGCAAGUCGAACGGAUUGUAGCAAUACAGUUAGUGGCAGACGGGUGAGUAACACGUAGAUAACGUACCCCUUCGCUGGGGAUAGCCACUGGAAACGGUGGGUAAAACCGAAUACUCUUCAAUUGGGACAUCCCAGUUGAAGGAAAACUUUGGUGUGGAGGGAUCGGUUUGCGACCUAUCAGCUAGUUGGUGAGGUAAUGGCUCACCAAGGCGACGACGGGUAACCGGUCUGAGAGGACGGUCGGUCACACUGGCACUGAGAUACGGGCCAGACUCCUACGGGAGGCAGCAGUGAGGGAUUUUGCACAAUGGAGGAAACUCUGAUGCAGCGACGCCGCGUGCGGGACGAAGCCUUUCGGGGUGUAAACCGCUGUCAGUGGGGAAGAGUAGGGACGGUACCACUGAGGAAGCAUCGGCUAACUACGCGCCAGCAGCCGC
Molecule: ribosomal RNA, 467 nt
Filed under: uncultured bacterium
Lineage: Bacteria
Description: SSU rRNA
Rfam family: Bacterial small subunit ribosomal RNA
Source: RNAcentral